GUCCACGCCGUAAACGAUGAGUGCUAGGUGUCACGGGCUUUGACCCUCGUGGUGCCGAAGCUAACGCGUUAAGCACUCCGCCUGGGGAGUACGGCCGCAAGGCUAAAACUCAAAGGAAUUGACGGGGGCCCGCACAAGCGGUGGAGCAUGUUGUUUAAUUCGACGCAACGCGAAGAACCUUACCUGGGCUAGAAAACACAGGAAGUCGGACGAAAGUUCGAUGUGCCUUUCGGGGAACCUGUGGUUAGGUGCUGCAUGGCUGUCGU
This 266-nucleotide ribosomal RNA is filed under the name uncultured bacterium. RNAcentral describes it as "partial 16S ribosomal RNA". It matches the Rfam family "Bacterial small subunit ribosomal RNA", at positions 793 to 1055 of the family's 1533-position model. The record is from RNAcentral.